This 439-nucleotide ribosomal RNA is filed under the name Symbiodinium sp. B1. Its description in RNAcentral is "partial 23S ribosomal RNA". It matches the Rfam family "Bacterial large subunit ribosomal RNA", at positions 1943 to 2429 of the family's 2925-position model. Lineage: Eukaryota; Dinophyceae; Suessiales; Symbiodiniaceae. The record is from RNAcentral.
UAACGGUCCUAAGGUAGCAAAUUUCCUUGUCGUCUUAAUAACGACCUGCAUGAAACAUAGAACGAUUUGAUAGCUGUCUUGCACACACAUCAUGGUAAAAUAUUCAUCAGUACAAAUAAUAUGCUGCUGACACUAAAGGACAAAAAGACCCUUUGAAGCUUUAUAGGGAUAAAACUCAGCUCUAAAUCAACAAACAAUGAAAUCCAUCUUGUUGCUUCUCCGCUUUUUAAAUUGCUAAAGCCUUACAAGAUUUACAACAUCAAGACCACUGUUUAAUUGGGGCGAUAACCUUAUCCACAGCCACCUAAGGUGAACAAAGCGAUACAAGGAUCCUAAAUACUAAUUUGACCAACUAAUAAGUGCAAAGAUACAUGUUUUGCUUAAUGGCCCAACAAGUCCUUCCCAGUACUUAAAUGCUAUCUUAAUGAGCUUUAAAUUA